GGAAAGCACGCGAGGGAGGGAAGUCCACUUGUUUCGGUGGGGGUACGGUUUUCCGUGCGGCACGAGAGCAAGUGGAGAGGAGAGUCCGUAGAGUGGGAGGUUCGAGCAAGAGGGUAGUGGGGGAUCCAAGAGAAGAGGGGAUACUCGUGUCGCGCGAUAACCGUCGUCGAGGUGCAAACCAGCCGCGAAUUCGAAAGGCGGCCAGUUGCUGUUCGCGCGUCGUCUGCGUCGCGUCGCGGGUAUAUCGUGUCGAGAUAUCGAGACGAAAACAGACGACGUUGAAAGAACGAUCGACCAGCAACGAUUGACACGAGGAAGAAGGAUCUCGCGUGGGUCGAGAUUCUUAGGUCGAGUUUUUAAACACGACGACACGUGCAGUCAGGCGACGCGUCAAAGUCCCCGAUAGCGACGGAAUGUAGGGAGACGUUUAUAAUUAGUCAUGCGAGAGUACACAGAGAGAAAGGAAAGCUAAAGAGAGAUUAUAGCGUAGUCGUGAGUAACGAGAUCACGAGGAUUUUUCAUCGCGACGCACGCCUCUGUGAUUCACUGCCGGGACGAUAGCACGCGUUAUUCUCUUUUCGUUCGGUGAAUAAGAAUCGGCCAGAAG
RNAcentral lists this unclassified non-coding RNA (607 nucleotides) under Bombus terrestris (buff-tailed bumblebee). Its description in RNAcentral is "misc RNA ENSBTSG00005031963.1". The record is from RNAcentral. Lineage: Eukaryota; Metazoa; Arthropoda; Insecta; Hymenoptera; Apidae.